This 497-nucleotide ribosomal RNA is filed under the name uncultured bacterium. RNAcentral's name for it is "partial 16S ribosomal RNA". It matches the Rfam family "Bacterial small subunit ribosomal RNA", at positions 28 to 507 of the family's 1533-position model. The record is from RNAcentral.
GAUGAACGCUGGCGGCGUGCCUAAUACAUGCAAGUCGAGCGAACAGACGAGGAGCUUGCUCCUCUGACGUUAGCGGCGGACGGGUGAGUAACACGUGGAUAACCUACCUAUAAGACUGGGAUAACUUCGGGAAACCGGAGCUAAUACCGGAUAAUAUAUUGAACCGCAUGGUUCAAUAGUGAAAGACGGUUUUGCUGUCACUUAUAGAUGGAUCCGCGCCGCAUUAGCUAGUUGGUAAGGUAACGGCUUACCAAGGCAACGAUGCGUAGCCGACCUGAGAGGGUGAUCGGGCACCUGGGAACAGAGAAACGGUCAAGACACCUACGGGAGGCAGCAGUAGGGAAUCUUCCGCAAGGGGCGAAAGGCGGACGGAGCAAAGCCGCGUGAGGGAUGAAGGUCUUCGGAUCGGAAAACUAUGUUAGUAGGGAAGAACAAAUGUGUAAGUAACUAUGCACGUCUUGACGGUACCUAAUCAGAAAGCCACGGCUAACUACGUG